ACAAGCGGUGAUGAUGUGGUUUAAUUCGAUGCAACGCGAAAACCUUACCUACCCUUGACAUGUCAAGAUUUUGCAGAGAUGUGAAAGUGCUCGAAAGAGAACUUGAACACAGGUGCUGCAUGGCCGUCGUCAGCUCGUGUCGUGAGAUGUUGGGUUAAGUCCCCGCAACGAGCGCAACCCUUGUCAUUAGUUGCUACCGCAAGGAGCACUCUAAUGAGACUGCCGGUGACAAACCGGAGGAAGUGGGGAUGACGUCAGGUCCUCAUGGCCCUUAUGGGUAGGGCUACACACGUCAUACAAUGGCCGGUACAGAGGGCUGCCAACCCGCGAGGGGAGCCAAUCCCAGAAAACCGGUCGUAGUCCGGAUCGUAGUCUGCAACUCGACUGCGUGAAGUCGGAAUCGCUAGUAAUCGCGGAUCAGCUUGCCGCGGUGAAUACGUUCCCGGGUCUU
This 451-nucleotide ribosomal RNA is filed under the name uncultured Aquabacterium sp. RNAcentral describes it as "bacterial SSU rRNA". It matches the Rfam family "Bacterial small subunit ribosomal RNA", at positions 925 to 1382 of the family's 1533-position model. Lineage: Bacteria; Pseudomonadati; Pseudomonadota; Betaproteobacteria; Burkholderiales; Sphaerotilaceae. The record is from RNAcentral.